RNAcentral lists this transfer RNA (27 nucleotides) under Meliosma dentata. RNAcentral's name for it is "partial tRNA-Leu". Lineage: Eukaryota; Viridiplantae; Streptophyta; Magnoliopsida; Proteales; Sabiaceae. The record is from RNAcentral.
GCCGCCAUGGUGAAAUCGGUAAACACG